Molecule: ribosomal RNA, 1135 nt
Filed under: Listeria monocytogenes
Lineage: Bacteria; Bacillati; Bacillota; Bacilli; Caryophanales; Listeriaceae
Description: partial 23S ribosomal RNA
Rfam family: Bacterial large subunit ribosomal RNA
Source: RNAcentral
GACGGUAACAGCCCGGUAGUUGAAAUGGCUUUCCCUCCAGAGUGGAUCCUGAGUACGGCGGAACACGUGAAAUUCCGUCGGAAUCCGGGAGGACCAUCUCCCAAGGCUAAAUACUCCCUAGUGACCGAUAGUGAACCAGUACCGUGAGGGAAAGGUGAAAAGCACCCCGGAAGGGGAGUGAAACAGUUCCUGAAACCGUGUGCCUACAAGUAGUUAGAGCCCGUUAAUGGGUGAUAGCGUGCCUUUUGUAGAAUGAACCGGCGAGUUACGAUUUGUUGCAAGGUUAAGCGGAAAAAGCGGAGCCGUAGCGAAAGCGAGUCUGAAUAGGGCGCAUAAGUAACAGGUCGUAGACCCGAAACCAGGUGAUCUACCCAUGUCCAGGAUGAAGGUAAGGUAAUACUUACUGGAGGUCCGAACCCACGCACGUUGAAAAGUGCGGGGAUGAGGUGUGGGUAGCGGAGAAAUUCCAAUCGAACUUGGAGAUAGCUGGUUCUCUCCGAAAUAGCUUUAGGGCUAGCCUCGAGGUAAAGAGUCAUGGAGGUAGAGCACUGUUUGGACUAGGGGCCCUUCUCGGGUUACCGAAUUCAGAUAAACUCCGAAUGCCAUGUACUUAUACUCGGGAGUCAGACUGCGAGUGAUAAGAUCCGUAGUCGAAAGGGAAACAGCCCAGACCACCAGUUAAGGUCCCCAAAUAUAUGUUAAGUGGAAAAGGAUGUGGGGUUGCUUAGACAACCAGGAUGUUGGCUUAGAAGCAGCCACCAUUGAAAGAGUGCGUAAUAGCUCACUGGUCGAGUGACCCCGCGCCGAAAAUGUACCGGGGCUAAACAUAUUACCGAAACUGUGGAUGAACCUCUUUAGAGGUUCGUGGUAGGAGAGCGUUCUAAGGGCGGUGAAGUCAGACCGGAAGGACUGGUGGAGCGCUUAGAAGUGAGAAUGCCGGUAUGAGUAGCGAAAGAAGGGUGAGAAUCCCUUCCACCGAAUAUCUAAGGUUUCCUGAGGAAGGCUCGUCCGCUCAGGGUUAGUCGGGACCUAAGCCGAGGCCGAUAGGCGUAGGCGAUGGACAACAGGUAGAGAUUCCUGUACCAGUGCUAAUUGUUUAACCGAUGGGGUGACACAGAAGGAUAGGGAAUCGCAC